RNAcentral lists this transfer-messenger RNA (354 nucleotides) under Erysipelothrix inopinata. RNAcentral's name for it is "Standard tmRNA". It matches the Rfam family "transfer-messenger RNA". Rfam says of the family: Bacterial tmRNA, also known as 10Sa RNA or SsrA, is named for its dual tRNA and mRNA-like properties. Its role is to liberate the mRNA from a stalled ribosome. Lineage: Bacteria; Bacillati; Bacillota; Erysipelotrichia; Erysipelotrichales; Erysipelotrichaceae. The record is from Rfam by way of RNAcentral.
GGGGCUGUCAUGGUUUCGACAGGAUUUCGUUUGAUUUAGAUUGCAGUGGUGUGGUUACCUUAAAACCAAACAAAAAUUAACUGGAAACAAUAACAGUUUACAAUUCGCUGCUUAAUUAGCUAUUCAUAGCUGUAGCGUGAUGAAUCUAAGCUUUGCCUUUGGGCGAAGAUCAUCAACAUAACCAACGAAGGAUAAGGUUGCGUGAGCUCGACACGUAACUCGAAAACCCAAGAGCACAUCAAAGAGACCUUUGUCGGCUUCGUCCUCUUUGAUUAUUAUGAAGCAGACUAAACUGUAGACGUCUAAAUGUGGAACACUUCUUGGACGCGGGUUCGACUCCCGCCAGCUCCACCA